AUCCAGCCGACGAAUCCCAAAUAGGACAAAAUGCGCAUUCUGGAU
This 45-nucleotide non-coding RNA is filed under the name Trichobilharzia regenti. Lineage: Eukaryota; Metazoa; Platyhelminthes; Trematoda; Strigeidida; Schistosomatidae. The record is from RNAcentral.